GCCCCGGUAGCUUUAGCCUGGUUAGAUACUUGGAGAUCAGGUAGCAGAGAGCGUUGGCUUGGUAAGCCAAAGGUCGCGGGUUCGAAUCCCGCCCGGGGCU
RNAcentral lists this transfer RNA (100 nucleotides) under Candidatus Bathyarchaeota archaeon. RNAcentral's name for it is "tRNA-Thr". It matches the Rfam family "tRNA". From Rfam's summary of the family: Transfer RNA (tRNA) molecules are approximately 80 nucleotides in length. Lineage: Archaea; Thermoproteati; Candidatus Bathyarchaeota. The record is from RNAcentral. RNAcentral also lists the same sequence under 1 other name.